GUACAAGCCAAAUUAAGGUGAAACCGCGAAAGGCUCAUUAAAUCAGUUAUGGUUCCUUAGAUCGUACCCACAUUUACUUGGAUAACUGUGGUAAUUCUAGAGCUAAUACAUGCAAACAGAGCUCCGCCCGGAGACGGAAGGAGUGCUUUUAUUAGAUCAAAACCAAUCGGUGGCGGGCUUGCUCGUCAUCGUACAUUUUGGUGACUCUGAAUAACUUUUUGCUGAUCGCACGGUCUCGCACCGGCGACGCAUCUUUCAAAUGUCUGCCUUAUCAACUGUCGAUGGUAGGUUCUGCGCCUACCAUGGUUGUAACGGGUAACGGGGAAUCAGGGUUCGAUUCCGGAGAGGGAGCCUGAGAAACGGCUACCACAUCCAAGGAAGGCAGCAGGCGCGCAAAUUACCCACUCCCGGCACGGGGAGGUAGUGACGAAAAAUAACGAUACGGGACUCAUCCGAGGCCCCGUAAUCGGAAUGAGUACACUCUAAACCCUUUAACGAGGAUCAAUUGGAGGGCAAGUCUGGUGCCAGCAGCCGCGGUAAUUCCAGCUCCAAUAGCGUAUAUUAAAGUUGUUGCGGUUAAAAAGCUCGUAGUCGAAUCUGUGUCCCGCGCCGUCGGUUCAUCGCUCGCGGUGUUCAACUGACGUGCCGCGGGACGUCCUGCCGGUGGGCUUAGCUCGUCCGCGGGCGGCCCAACUUCAAAUCCCACCGCGGUGCUCUUGACUGAGUGUCGAGGUGGGCCGGCACGUUUACUUUGAACAAAUUAGAGUGCUUAAAGCAGGCUAAAAUUUCGCCUGAAUACUGUGUGCAUGGAAUAAUGGAAUAGGACCUCGGUUCUAUUUUGUUGGUUUUCGGAACUCCGAGGUAAUGAUUAAUAGGAACGGAUGGGGGCAUUCGUAUUGCGACGUUAGAGGUGAAAUUCUUGGAUCGUCGCAAGACGGACAGAAGCGAAAGCAUUUGCCAAAAACGCUUUCAUUGAUCAAGAACGAAAGUUAGAGGUUCGAAGGCGAUCAGAUACCGCCCUAGUUCUAACCAUAAACGAUGCCAGCUAGCGAUCCGCCGACGUUCCUCCGAUGACUCGGCGGGCAGCUUCC
RNAcentral lists this ribosomal RNA (1091 nucleotides) under Laccobius sp. SLE0938. RNAcentral describes it as "SSU rRNA". It matches the Rfam family "Eukaryotic small subunit ribosomal RNA", at positions 63 to 1091 of the family's 1831-position model. The record is from RNAcentral. Lineage: Eukaryota; Metazoa; Arthropoda; Insecta; Coleoptera; Hydrophilidae.